GACGAACGCUGGCGGCGUGCUUAACACAUGCAAGUCGAACGGAAAGUCUCUUCUUUUUUUUGGUGCUCGAGUGGCGCACGGGUGCGUAACACGUGUGUAACCUGCCCUUGACUUUAGGAUAACUUCCCGAAACUGGGAUUAAUCCUCCAUAGCACCUCCUGCUGCCUGGUGGGUGUUGUAAAGUUUCGGCGGUUGGCGAUUGACUUUCGGCUUGUUAAGUUGUUGGUGGGGUAGUGGCUUACCAAGGCUUUGGCUGGUAGCCGGCCUGAGAGGGUGACCGGCGACAUGGGGAAUGAGAUACGGCCAAGACUCAUAAGGGAGGAAGGAGUGGGGAAUAUUGCACAAAGGGCGGAAGGCUGAGGCAGGAACGAAGCGUGCGGGAUGACGGACUUCGGGUUGUAAACCGAUAACGCCUGUGACGAAGCGUAAGUGACGGUAAUGGGUAAAGAAGCAACGGCUAACUACGUG
RNAcentral lists this ribosomal RNA (468 nucleotides) under uncultured bacterium. RNAcentral's name for it is "partial 16S ribosomal RNA". It matches the Rfam family "Bacterial small subunit ribosomal RNA", at positions 28 to 507 of the family's 1533-position model. The record is from RNAcentral.